RNAcentral lists this long non-coding RNA (596 nucleotides) under Marmota monax (woodchuck). The record is from RNAcentral. Lineage: Eukaryota; Metazoa; Chordata; Mammalia; Rodentia; Sciuridae.
GUAAAAUUAAAGGUAGUGUUAGGGUUAGAGUUAGACAAGGGUUCUUGUUAGGGUUGGGGUUAGGGUUAGGAUUAGGGUUAGUGUUAUGGAUAGGGUUAGGGUUAGGUUUUGGGUUAGGUUAAGGCUUAGAGUUAGUGUUAGUGUUAGGGCUGCCAUUAGAGUUAGUGUUAGGGUUACGGUUACGGUUAGGGUUAGGGUUAGGUUUAGAGUUAUGGUUAGGUUUUGUGUUAGGGUUAGGGUUAGGGUUAGUGUUAAGGUUAGGGUUACGGUUAGGAUUAUGUUUAGGGUUAGGGUUAGGGUUAGUGUUAUGGUUAGUGGUUGUUUUAGGGUUUGGGUUUCUGUUAAUAUUAGGGUUAGGGUUCGAGUUGGGAUUGUGGUUAGAAUUAGCAUUAGGUUGGGGUUAGGGUUAGGUUUCGUGUUAGGGUUGAGAUUAAGGUUAGGUUUAGUGUUAGGGUUCGGGUAACGGUUAGGGUGAGUGUUCGGGUUGUUUUAGGUUAAGGCUAGUGUUAGGUUUAGCAUUAGGGUAAGGGUUAGGGUUACUGUUAGGGUUAUUGUUAAGUUUAGAGUUAGUGUUAGGGUUAUUAUUAGGAUUAGGG